RNAcentral lists this ribosomal RNA (510 nucleotides) under uncultured bacterium. RNAcentral describes it as "partial 16S ribosomal RNA". It matches the Rfam family "Bacterial small subunit ribosomal RNA", at positions 28 to 507 of the family's 1533-position model. The record is from RNAcentral.
GACGAACGCUGGCGGCGUGCUUAACACAUGCAAGUCGAACGAAGAGCGAUGGAAGCUUGCUUCUAUCAAUCUUAGUGGCGAACGGGUGAGUAACGCGUAAUCAACCUGCCCUUCAGAGGGGGACAACAGUUGGAAACGACUGCUAAUACCGCAUACGAUCUGACCUCGGCAUCGAGGAUAGAUGAAAGGUGGCCUCUAUUUAUAAGCUAUCACUGAAGGAGGGGAUUGCGUCUGAUUAGCUAGUUGGAGGGGUAACGGCCCACCAAGGCGAUGAUCAGUAGCCGGUCUGAGAGGAUGAACGGCCACAUUGGGACUGAGACACGGCCCAGACUCCUACGGGAGGCAGCAGUGGGGAAUCUUCCGCAAUGGACGAAAGUCUGACGGAGCAACGCCGCGUGAGUGAGGACGGCCUUCGGGUUGUAAAGCUCUGUUAAUCGGGACGAAAGGCCUUCUUGCGAAUAGUUAGAAGGAUUGACGGUACCGGAAGAGAAAGCCACGGCUAACUACGUG